RNAcentral lists this ribosomal RNA (471 nucleotides) under uncultured bacterium. RNAcentral describes it as "bacterial SSU rRNA". It matches the Rfam family "Bacterial small subunit ribosomal RNA", at positions 28 to 507 of the family's 1533-position model. The record is from RNAcentral.
GAUGAACGCUGGCGGCGUGCUUAACACAUGCAAGUCGAACGGACUUUACAUGAAGCCUAGCGAUUGUAAAGUUAGUGGCGGACGGGUGAGUAACGCGUGGGUAACCUGCCCUACACAGGGGGACAACAGUUGGAAACGACUGCUAAUACCGCAUAAGCGCACAGUACCGCAUGGUACAGUGUGAAAAACUCCGGUGGUAUGAGAUGGACCUGCGUCUGAUUAGCUAGUUGGUGAGGUAACGGCCCACCAAGGCGACGAUCAGUAGCCGACCUGAGAGGGUGACCGGCCACAUUGGGACUGAGACACGGCCCAAACUCCUACGGGAGGCAGCAGUGGGGGAUAUUGCGCAAUGGGGGCAACCCUGACGCAGCAACGCCGCGUGCGGGAAGAAGGUCUUCGGAUUGUAAACCGUUGUCGCAAGGGAAGAAGACAGUGACGGUACCUUGUGAGAAAGCCACGGCUAACUACGUG